AUUGAACGCUGGCGGCAGGCCUAACACAUGCAAGUCGAGCGGUAACAGGAAACAGCUUGCUGUUUCGCUGACGAGUGGCGGACGGGUGAGUAAUGUCUGGGAAACUGCCUGAUGGAGGGGGAUAACUACUGGAAACGGUAGCUAAUACCGCAUAACGUCGCAAGACCAAAGAGGGGGACCCUCGGGCCUCUUGCCAUCGGAUGUGCCCAGAUGGGAUUAGCUUGUUGGUGGGGUAACGGCUCACCAAGGCGACGAUCCCUAGCUGGUCUGAGAGGAUGACCAGCCACACUGGAACUGAGACACGGUCCAGACUCCUACGGGAGGCAGCAGUGGGGAAUAUUGCACAAUGGGCGCAAGCCUGAUGCAGCCAUGCCGCGUGUAUGAAGAAGGCCUUCGGGUUGUAAAGUACUUUCAGCGGGGAGGAAGGGAGUAAAGUUAAUACCUUUGCUCAUUGACGUUACCCGCAGAAGAAGCACCGGCUAACUCCGUG
This 490-nucleotide ribosomal RNA is filed under the name uncultured bacterium. Its description in RNAcentral is "partial 16S ribosomal RNA". It matches the Rfam family "Bacterial small subunit ribosomal RNA", at positions 30 to 507 of the family's 1533-position model. The record is from RNAcentral.